Molecule: unclassified non-coding RNA, 381 nt
Filed under: Hevea brasiliensis (rubber tree)
Lineage: Eukaryota; Viridiplantae; Streptophyta; Magnoliopsida; Malpighiales; Euphorbiaceae
Source: RNAcentral
GAAAAAGCUAAACAUCAAGGGAGGUUGUGUUGAUGAUUUUCUUUCUCAUUUGAUGUGCUGUUGCUGUGCUCUUGUCCAAGAAUUGCGCGAAGUCAAGAUACGUGGGACACAUGGUAUAGAGAAGACGAAAAUAAGCCCUCCAACCACUCAAUUCAUGGAAUCCUAGGAAGCUAAACCUGGCUUUUUUAGCACAAAAUAUCAGAAAGCACUAUAUGGAGGUUCGGUGUGUAUAAUUGACCCAGAGUUGUUCAUUCGUUUACAUGGUUACUGGUGACUAUACAUGUAUGUGAUGUAAGAAUCUGUUCUAUGUGGUGUACAUGCAGGAAUAUUAUGGUGUAACUAUGGAUGAAUAUCAUGACGUAUUUUUUGUGAAAAUAAAAG